GAGCUGUAAGCUGUUCUUCUGGACCAAGUGAAGGCUAUUCUUGGUAUAGACUUCAGAUUAAGACAGAAAUUGUCUUUCAUCCAUGUCCCCAGUCUUUAGAUUAGAUUUAGCUCUUAGCAAUGAUUGCAGGUGUCUUGAGAUUUGUAGGCUGAAAUAUUAUGCUGCUUUUUUAAGGAGAAACAAUGGAAGGUGAUAUUUAUUGCCUGCAUUCUUUUUCAGACUUCAAAACAAGUGGUUUGGUUCUUAUCUUUACACAGUGACACUAACUAAGGAGCAGGAUAUUAUUUCAAUUUCAUGCUUCAUAUUUUUUCAGCAUAAAGUAUUUUCAAAAGGUCACUCAGGUAUUUUGACAUGUAUUUUCCUUGAGCUGGGCCAUAACAGAAAGAUCUUUACUAUUUUUGCAUAUUUUGUCAGUGUUAUUUAUUAUUUUAAUGAUAAAGAUGGAUUUUGGCAAUGUUGACUACAAGCUUUGUUUAAAAUAGAUUUCAUUGGCUUGUGGUUCAUUUCUGUACUCAAUCUUGGAGGUGAUAGAGAAAAUUUUGGCAGCUCUUUAUACUGAGACAACAUUAAAAGCAAUCAAGAAGUGUUUGCAGUCUGUUCAGAAACACAAAAAAUUAUCUUCUUCUAAUCCCCUUCCUAAAAAUAUGUAGCUUUUUGACAGAAAUCAGCCCUUUUAAUGAAUAUAUAAACUAGAUGAGCCCUCUGUUUUCCGUCAUUAAAUAAAUGCGACAGAAAACUUUCAACCAGGUUUUGGCUUUACCUUGUUCUAAAGUAUGCCCUAGAACUUGUUCUUACCCUUCAUGCUCACCUGUCAGCUUCCCCUGCUUUCAAGAAAAUAUGUGUGUUUGAGCAGCAAUUUCCUGUCCUAUGAUAAUGUGAUUUCUCUUCUCACGAGUUUUGGUUGCAGGUAUGAGGAGCCCUCUGUGCCAGCACACAAGGUUUCAUGUGGGACCCCAGCUCCAGGCAGCCUCCUUGGGACUGGAUGACCUCAGCAAACGCCACCUCAUGGUUGUGCCUGGCCCUGGAUCCCACCACCACGCCUAAUAGGAGGAGAUGGAGCAGCAGUCAGAGAUGGGAGAGAGGGUCAGGGAGAAGUAAUGGCUCGGACAAGAAGUCAGAAGCAUCAAAACGUCAGCUUUCCCUAAGCAGAAAGUAAUUCUGCAUGUUUUAUUUUCUGGGUAUCUGACUUCAUACCCUGGGGCCUGAUUUGCUGAAAUGCUGAGUAUUGCAGCUGCAACUGAGCUCAAUAGGAC
Molecule: long non-coding RNA, 1253 nt
Filed under: Calidris pugnax (ruff)
Lineage: Eukaryota; Metazoa; Chordata; Aves; Charadriiformes; Scolopacidae
Description: lncRNA (ENSCPUG00000004630.1)
Source: RNAcentral